AGUGGCGACGGGUGAGUAACGCGUGGGUAACCUGCCUUGGUACAGGGGGAUAACAAUUGGAAACGACUGCUAAUACCGCAUAAGCGCACAGUACCGCAUGGUACAGUGUAGAAAAACUCCGGUGGUACGAGAUGGACCCGCGUCUGAUUAGCUUGUUGGUGGGGUAACGGCCUACCAAGGCAACGAUCAGUAGCCGACUUGAGAGAGUGAUCGGCCACAUUGGGACUGAGACACGGCCCAAACUCCUACGGGAGGCAGCAUG
Molecule: ribosomal RNA, 262 nt
Filed under: uncultured bacterium
Lineage: Bacteria
Description: partial 16S ribosomal RNA
Rfam family: Bacterial small subunit ribosomal RNA
Source: RNAcentral